CUCUCCUUCCUUGGGUCUUGUCUAGGGUUAGAGUCACUGAGAUAUGUCUCUCCCUGAGUAAGUCUCACUAUUCAGAGAUUUCUGCAGAGAUGCUCAUCAAGCUACAGGAAAACACAGGGAAAGAUUUACUUUUAAUUUGUUUUGGUUACUUAAACAUACAUAUUUUUUCUUUCCCAGAUUCCCUGAGAAGAAAAUAAUGUGUGUAACAUUUUAAACAGCAGUGACCAUUUACUGAGCUAAGGGCUUCAUGUAUGCAAUCUCAUUUAUCUCUAUUACUCAGUAAGCUCUCCAAACUUGUGGUAAUCAGGAUCUCCCUGGCUUCUACUGAUGGACUUAUAGGCACAUGGCAGAAAGGAUGUGAAAUUUGGCACCAAAAACGCAUGUAUUUGUGAGCUUCACGAACUUCUGGUUUGUGGUCCAUAAAGCAGACAUACUAGUAA
Molecule: long non-coding RNA, 440 nt
Organism: Sapajus apella (tufted capuchin)
Lineage: Eukaryota; Metazoa; Chordata; Mammalia; Primates; Cebidae
Exons: 2
Source: RefSeq, a predicted model, not a curated record